This 253-nucleotide ribosomal RNA is filed under the name uncultured bacterium. RNAcentral describes it as "partial 16S ribosomal RNA". It matches the Rfam family "Bacterial small subunit ribosomal RNA", at positions 524 to 776 of the family's 1533-position model. The record is from RNAcentral.
UACGGAGGGGGCUAGCGUUGUUCGGAAUUACUGGGCGUAAAGCGCGUGUAGGCGGCUUUGCAAGUCGGGUGUGAAAGCCCUCGGCUCAACCGAGGAAGUGCGCCCGAAACUGCAGAGCUUGAGUACCGGAGAGGAUGGCGGAAUUCCCCAAGUAGAGGUGAAAUUCGUAGAUAUGGGGAGGAACACCGGCGGCGAAGGCGGCCAUCUGGACGGAUACUGACGCUGAGACGCGAAAGCGUGGGGAGCAAACAGG